RNAcentral lists this ribosomal RNA (402 nucleotides) under uncultured bacterium. RNAcentral's name for it is "bacterial SSU rRNA". It matches the Rfam family "Bacterial small subunit ribosomal RNA", at positions 370 to 772 of the family's 1533-position model. The record is from RNAcentral.
AAUGGUCGAAAGACUGACGCAGCGACGCCGCGUGCGGGAGGAAGCCCUUCGGGGUGUAAACCGCUGUUACUCGGGACGAACUUCCCGAUUUAUCGGGAUUGACGGUACCGGGGGAGGAAGCACCGGCUAACUCUGUGCCAGCAGCCGCGGUAAUACAGAGGGUGCGAGCGUUGUCCGGAAUCACUGGGCGUAAAGGGCGCGUAGGCGGCUUUUCAAGCGUGCGGUGAAAGCUCGGGGCUUAACUCCGAGUCUGCCGGGCGAACUGGGAGGCUUGAGUCUGGUAGAGGUCGAUGGAAUUCCGGGUGUAGCGGUGGAAUGCGUAGAGAUCCGGAAGAACACCGGUGGCGAAGGCGGUCGACUGGGCCAGAACUGACGCUGAGGCGCGACAGCGUGGGGAGCAAA